RNAcentral lists this ribosomal RNA (497 nucleotides) under uncultured bacterium. RNAcentral's name for it is "partial 16S ribosomal RNA". It matches the Rfam family "Bacterial small subunit ribosomal RNA", at positions 28 to 507 of the family's 1533-position model. The record is from RNAcentral.
GAUGAACGCUGGCGGCGUGCCUAAUACAUGCAAGUCGAGCGAACAGACCAGGAGCUUGCUCCUCUGACUUUAGCGGCGGACGGGUGAGUAACUUAUGGUUAACCUACCUAUAAGACAGGGAUAAUUUCGGCAAAUCGGCGCUACUACCGGAUAAUAUAUUGCACCGCAUGGUUCAAUCGUGAAAUACGGUUUUUCUUUCACUUAUAGAUUGAUCCGCGCCGCAUUAGCUAGUUGGUAAGGUAACGGCUUACCAAGGCGACGAUGCGUAGCGGACCUGAGAGGGAGGACGGCCAGCCGGGAAGUGAGGAAGGGUCGAGACUCCUAGAGGAGGAAGCAGUAGAGAAUCUUACGGGAUGGAGGAGAGGGUGACGGAGCAAAACGGGGGAAAUGAUGAAGGAGCACGGAUGGGAAAACGAUGAUAUUAGGAGAGAAGAAAUGUGUAAGUAACUGUGAAGAUAUUGACGGUACCUGGUGAGAAAGCCACGGCUAACUACGUG